Aspergillus rambellii is the source of this 120-nucleotide ribosomal RNA. NCBI's taxonomy places the organism in Eukaryota, Fungi, Ascomycota, Eurotiomycetes, Eurotiales, Aspergillaceae. The record is from Rfam.
ACAUACGACCAUAGGAAGUGGAAAAUAGGGCUUCCCGUCCGCUCAGCCGUACUCAAGCCACUUGCCGGUCAGUUAGUAGUAUGGUGGGUGACCACAUGCGAAUCCUGACUGUUGUAUGUU